Pelobates cultripes (western spadefoot toad) is the source of this 223-nucleotide non-coding RNA. Lineage: Eukaryota; Metazoa; Chordata; Amphibia; Anura; Pelobatidae. The record is from the annotation of a GenBank genome assembly.
UAGAAUUUGAAGCUGCAAUUUCAAGAAAUAUUUGUCAAAUCCAGAGUUAGCUGCUUAAUCUUUGUCAUGAUGUCAGUGCUUUUUCACUAAACAGUAAAUUGUGGUGAGUUAGGACCCAAAUUACAAAAAGGAAUCCUGUUAGAAACAUUGCCUAAUUGAACUGUUUCCCAAUUUGACAAUUUGCAAGACAGAUGUUUAAUGCAAAGGGAAACCAGCAUGGGGG